UUAUUAGGGUUUAUCGCUAAAGGGAUUAAAAAAAAAACUCAAUUCUCAAUAGAAGAAAUGACUGGUGGUGGUAUGAAUCGGUUGCGAAAUCUGCCUUAUAGCCCAGGCACCAUAGCGGUCGGCAGCGCCAUCAUCGUUGGCGGAAUUUGGUACUACAUGAUGUACAUGAAGAAGAAACCAGAAGAUGCUGCUAGGGAUGCUACUAAGAUUGCCAGUGGUAUUGUUCGUCCUGAGGAUACUCGUAAGUAGAUAACUUAGGCAUGUAACUAUAGUUAAAUUUUUUUCCUUUUCUUUUAAUCAUGUCUCUGUCAAAAACUUGAAGUAUCAUAUUUUCAUAUCAGUCACUAUUUCCUUUAUAUUUUCACUUUAC
This 370-nucleotide long non-coding RNA is filed under the name Nicotiana benthamiana. Its description in RNAcentral is "long non-coding RNA (NBEN_LNC003829)". Lineage: Eukaryota; Viridiplantae; Streptophyta; Magnoliopsida; Solanales; Solanaceae. The record is from RNAcentral.